Molecule: ribosomal RNA, 254 nt
Filed under: uncultured bacterium
Lineage: Bacteria
Description: partial 16S ribosomal RNA
Rfam family: Bacterial small subunit ribosomal RNA
Source: RNAcentral
GACGGAGGGCGCGGGUGUUAUUCGUUUUGAUUGGGUGUAAAGGGUACGUAGGUGGCUGUUGAUAAUUCUUGGCUUAAAAUGCGGAGGGUUCCUACGCGCCAGCCUUUUAAGGAUCCAGCUAGAAUUGAAGAUAGGUCGGGGCAAUUUCUUGUGUAGGGGUAAAAUCCCGCUAGAUAAGGAAGAAGGCCAGCUGGCGGAGGCGUCUCUCUAGCUUCAAUUGACGCUAAGGUACGGAAGCCUAGGUAGCAAACAGA